RNAcentral lists this unclassified non-coding RNA (253 nucleotides) under uncultured Oligoflexales bacterium. RNAcentral's name for it is "contains 16S-23S intergenic spacer region". It matches the Rfam family "Bacterial small subunit ribosomal RNA", at positions 524 to 776 of the family's 1533-position model. Lineage: Bacteria; Pseudomonadati; Bdellovibrionota; Oligoflexia; Oligoflexales. The record is from RNAcentral.
UACGGAGGGUGCUAGCGUUGCUCGGAAUUACUGGGCGUAAAGAGGAGGUAGGUGGUCUUGUGUGUCGGGGGUGAAAGCCCUGGGCUUAACCCAGGAGGGUCCUCCGAAACUGCAAGACUAGAGUCCUGGAGAGGGUCGUGGAAUUCCCGGUGUAGCGGUGAAAUGCGUAGAGAUCGGGAGGAACACCAGAGGCGAAGGCGGCGGCCUGGACAGGUACUGACACUCAACUCCGAAAGCGUGGGUAGCAAACAGG